RNAcentral lists this ribosomal RNA (496 nucleotides) under uncultured bacterium. Its description in RNAcentral is "partial 16S ribosomal RNA". It matches the Rfam family "Bacterial small subunit ribosomal RNA", at positions 29 to 507 of the family's 1533-position model. The record is from RNAcentral.
AUGAACGCUGGCGGCGUGCCUAAUACCUGCCAGUCGAGCGAACAGACGAGGAGCUUGCUCCUCUGACGUUAGCGGCGGACGGGUGAGUAACACGUGGAUAACCUACCUAUAAGACUGGGAUAACUUCGGGAAACCGGAGCUAAUACCGGAUAAUAUAUUGAACCGCAUGGUUCAAUAGUGAAAGACGGUUUUGCUGUCACUUAUAGAUGGAUCCGCGCCGCAUUAGCUAGUUGGUAAGGUAACGGCUUACCAAGGCGACGAUGCGUAGCCGACCUGAGAGGGUGAUCGGCCACACUGGAACUGAGACACGGUCCAGACGCCUACGGGAGGCAGCAGUAGGGAAUCUUCCGCAAUGGGCGAAAGCCUGACGGAGCAACGCCGCGUGAGUGAUGAAGGUCUUCGGAUCGUAAAACUCUGUUAUUAGGGAAGAACAAAUGUGUAAGUAACUAUGCACGUCUUGACGGUACCUAAUCAGAAAGCCACGGCUAACUACGUG